GGAGAACCGACCUGAGGGGAGGAAAGGGGCCAAGAGCAGCCUCGCCAAACAGGAAGAUGUUUAGGUCUGAUCAGUGCCUAUGGCAGGAGCUUCACAUCAUUAACAGGCUGGAACAACAUCUUGCUUGUUUGGAAGGCAGCUGGAACACUUUCAGUGCUCAGUACAAGUAAUGUGAUUGUCAUUGUCAUGUAUGAAUUUCAGCCUGGAAUAUUGAUUGCAUCACCCAUGUUUUUCAAGGUGACAAGGAAUCCACAGCCAAAAUAGGAAGAUGCUACUCUAUGAGAAAAAGCCUCUGUCUUAGCCAUUGCUUCACCCAGUAGAACCUCUUGAUCUUGGAAUGUCUCAAGAAGCAGAAGCUAAAUGCUUCAGCACAAGACAAUGGAGAAUGUAAGAGAUUAUCAACCAUCAGAUAUGCAGAAAGAACAAUUCAUCCUACAUUGCCUGCAGUGAAACAUGGGACCUCAAGCUCAUACAAGGUUGGAAUCUCUGCCCUAGGAGGUUAACACAGCAUCUGAUCAGAGAAAUUACGGCUGAGGUGAAAAGAAAAAUGAAAAUGAUGCCCCCAAGGACAAGAGACUGGAGAAAACCUAUGUGCCUCUAGUUCGUUUCUCAUCCUCCAGACGAUGAUUUGGAGAACAGCCUCAAUUAAGUCAGAGCGCAAAGGUGAACCCGAAAACUGCAUAAUGUCGUACUUCAGUGGAGAAUGAUGAAAGGCAGCAAGCAAAGCACCUUGUACCCAUUCAGUCCCACUGCUUCUUAUGCAAGGACUUUGGGUAAUGCCAGCUCACUGCCUAUGCCCACCCUUCAGGCAUCAUUUCUGCCCUCUAGAGAAAGAAUAACUACUUGAUCAUAUUGUUUGGAGAUAAGGAAAUACUUGCAAAGGAUAACUAUAUCUCAGAUGAUCAUAAGCGAACUUUGAAGGUGUUUGAAAUUUCUGCUGAUACUGCUGUAACUCUGGAAAUUGCAAGAAUAACCCUAGAUGAAAAUACAGUACAAGGACGAACAAUCAUGCACUGCUGUCAGAUCACUUAACCCCACGUAUAAACUGGCCAGGAAGGCAAAGAAAAUGAAAAUGAAAAAUACAGCCUUUGAUUUUUUUUUUUACAGUAUUUUUAUUUUUGCCAGCUAGCCCCAAAACACCCUUUGAGAUCAAUCCUGGAAUAAUGGCUCACAGUGGAGCCCAAAAACACUGCUUUGUUUAGAAGGGACUCAUGGCCUCCUCACAUCCACUCAAAGGUGUGAAAAUGCUAUCUUAAAUUGCAAUCCUAUGCACCCAUGCCUGGAAGAAAGGCCCCUAUUGAAUACAGCAGGAUUAAACAUAAAAUAGAUCUAUUUAGGAUUGUAUCAUAAGAUUUUCACAACAUUCUAACCUACACCAAAAGCAAAAGGAGGAACAGCGGUGCGGUCCAUAUAGAAAAUCUCAAAGCGGG
Pogona vitticeps (central bearded dragon) is the source of this 1430-nucleotide non-coding RNA. NCBI's taxonomy places the organism in Eukaryota, Metazoa, Chordata, Lepidosauria, Squamata, Agamidae. The record is from RefSeq and is a predicted model, not a curated record.